RNAcentral lists this ribosomal RNA (495 nucleotides) under uncultured bacterium. Its description in RNAcentral is "partial 16S ribosomal RNA". It matches the Rfam family "Bacterial small subunit ribosomal RNA", at positions 28 to 507 of the family's 1533-position model. The record is from RNAcentral.
GACGAACGCUGGCGGCGUGCCUAAUACAUGCAAGUAGAACGCUGAAGGAGGAGCUUGCUUCUCUGGAUGAGUUGCGAACGGGUGAGUAACGCGUAGGUAACCUGCCUGGUAGCGGGGGAUAACUAUUGGAAACGAUAGCUAAUACCGCAUAAUAGUAGAUGUCGCAUGACAUUUGCUUAAAAGGUGCAAUUGCAUCACUACCAGAUGGACCUGCGUUGUAUUAGCUGGUUGGUGAGGUAACGGCUCACCAAGGCAACGAUACAUAGCCGACCUGAGAGGGUGAGCGGCCACACUGGGACUGAGACACGGCCCAGACUCCUACGGGAGGCAGCAGUAGGGAAUCUUCGGCAAUGGACGGAAGUCUGACCGAGCAACGCCGCGUGAGUGAAGAAGGUUUUCGGAUCGUAAAGCUCUGUUGUAAGAGAAGAACGAGUGUGAGAGUGGAAAGUUCACACUGUGACGGUAUCUUACCAGAAAGGGACGGCUAACUACGUG